RNAcentral lists this ribosomal RNA (253 nucleotides) under uncultured bacterium. RNAcentral describes it as "partial 16S ribosomal RNA". It matches the Rfam family "Bacterial small subunit ribosomal RNA", at positions 524 to 776 of the family's 1533-position model. The record is from RNAcentral.
UACGAAGGGGGCUAGCGUUGUUCGGAAUUACUGGGCGUAAAGCGCGCGCAGGCGGUUUCUCAAGUCAGUGGUGAAAGCCCGGAGCUCAACUCCGGAACUGCCAUUGAAACUGUGAGACUUGAGGACGAGAGAGGUGAGUGGAAUUCCCAGUGUAGAGGUGAAAUUCGUAGAGAUCGGGAGGAACACCAGUGGCGAAGGCGGCUCGCUGGGCCGGCCCUGACGCUGAGACGCGAAGGCGUGGGGAGCGAACGGG